RNAcentral lists this small RNA (451 nucleotides) under Pongo abelii (Sumatran orangutan). RNAcentral describes it as "processed transcript". The record is from RNAcentral. Lineage: Eukaryota; Metazoa; Chordata; Mammalia; Primates; Hominidae.
UAUUAUUGCAUGCUUAGUGUGUGCCAACUUUAUCAUGGGGCCAGAGCAGAGAACAAGACCAGCUCCCUGCCAGACCAGAAAGCCACAGAGUAAGAGAAGUGAUUUGAUGGGAACCUGGAGAAGGGACCCAGAUAUUAGGGGCUGUGGUUGGCUGUGAGAUGAGAUGGACUCUGACCCCUGGUUCCCCCUGAUUCUAGGUUCCAAUGCUUCGACUUAGCUCGAGGCCUGAAGAGGUCACAGACUGGCUGCAGGCAGAGAACUUCUCCACUGCCACGGUGAGGACACUUGGGUCCCUGACGGGGAGCCAGCUACUUCGCAUAAGACCUGGGGAGCUACAGAUGCUAUGUCCACAGGAGGCCCCACGAAUCCUGUCCCGGCUGGAGGCUGUCAGAAGGAUGCUGGGGAUAAGCCCUUAGGCACCAGCUUAGACACCUCCAAGAACCAGGCCCCG